This 5211-nucleotide long non-coding RNA is filed under the name Vitis vinifera (wine grape). RNAcentral describes it as "long non-coding RNA (VVIN_LNC000973)". The record is from RNAcentral. Lineage: Eukaryota; Viridiplantae; Streptophyta; Magnoliopsida; Vitales; Vitaceae.
AGCUUGGGUUGGGUUGGGUUGGGUUGGGUUGAGCUUUGAGUUGGUGUGUUGUGCUUGGGUUGGCUCUCAACCUAUCCCAACCCUUAGGGUUGCAACUUUACUAAUAAUGAGCCAAAUCAAGAUAGGAUUUUCAUCUCUUAUCUUGUGCAUGCCCAUAUCCUAUAACCAAAUAUGUCCUAGACUUCUAAGGAUAUAAGACAAUGCGUGUGUUUUUAUUCUAGAAUUGUUUUAAGGAAUUAGUUGAGGUAGGUUUCAACAUUUAUGGAGUUGUGAAUAAUUGUCUAUUGUUGUACCGAUGAAUGAUGCAAAUAUACUUUUUUUCAAUAAGCAAAUAGAAAAUACAUUAAGCAACACUUAACAAAAAAGAGGACACAACCUAUGUACACAAGUGGUAUAUAAUAGGCACCAAGAAUAGACAAAAACCAAAAACUUCUAGGCAAGACAACCACCGUAAAAAUUUACCUAUCCACAACUAAGGCUUCUAAAAAAUCCAACACCAUGCAAGUCUCUGAUUCCCACUUGGGAUAAGGGCAUUGCAAUAUAAUGAAAAUCUCUUUUGAUUUCCUCGUUGAAAAUCCUACUAUUACGCUAUCUCCACAUGCACUAAAACAAGCAGUGAGGAGCCAUAUGCCAAACCCCUAAUCUUCCAAGCCCAAAGGAGAUCUUUCAUAGAAGAUGGAACAAUCCACCACAUCCCAAAAAUUGUUCAUAGUAAAUUCCAUAAUUUUAUGGUGAUAUCUCACUUGACUAAAAGGUUACAUUUUUUUACCAUCACGUAUUCUCUCCUCGAGAGAGUAUAUAAGGUUAGGAUAUUUCCCCACACUACCUCCUUGGCAAAAAAACUAGUCCUCAAAAGAGGUGUGAGAACCCUAAAUUUUUAUGGUAGUGAAUCUCAUUAUUGUAGGACAUGAGGAAUUGUAGUAUGACUUUGGUUAGAAGUGUCCCUUUGUAUCUUCUUUCCACCAAAAGCUGUCUAGCUGUCUAUCCUUAUUGCUUGCACCUCCACAAAAUGAUUUAGCUCCGUAAAAAGAGUUAUCAUCCCAUCUUUUAAUCCUGAACUUGCCUUUUGAACUACAUCAGCAAUUGACAUCCACACCUCCCAUAGAUCUGCCACAAUUGCAUUCUUAGCAGAGGUAACCUUCAAAGGCAAGGGGAAAGCCUCUUUCAAAGGACUCCGACCCAUUGAAAGUUGGUUCUCACACCUUUUCUUACUAAAUAGUUGUUCUAACAUUGAACUUCUCCCAACCUCUUUUAAUGUUUUUCCAUAAACCCGCCCUAGAAGCCUUUCCUUUCUAGAAUUCACCACCCCCCAUCCAUCCUACUAAACUUGCUUUAGAUUAUCUUCCUUUAUAGAGUAUCAUCUUCAUGAACACAUCUCUAUAGCCAUUUGCCCAAUAAGUCAUUGUUUAGAACCUUUAACCUUCUAAUUCCCAAGUCUCCAAAUCUUUGUAAAUUGUCAUCUAGUUCACUAAAUGCAUUUUCCUUCCCUCUGAAUUACUUUCUCAUAAAAAGUCUCUUAUGUUUUUUCUUUAGUGAUUUGCACUUUCCUUGUCAUUGCAAAUAGGGACAUAAAAUAAAUAGUAAGACUCGAGAGGUUUCUCUUUAUAAGAGUUGACUUGCCUCCCUUGACCAAGUGUCUAAUAUAUUUUUGAAUCUCUCCUUAAUUGAGUCUCACACUACAUUGUACUUAUGAAGUGCUCUCAAAGACGACCCAGGAUAUGAAGCAGGGAGCCUUACAACUAAAUAAAGAAGCUAAUUUGUCCACCCCUCCACCCCACUAGUUGGAAUUAGAUGCUAGCUCAAAGUUAAGUGAAACCAAUCUCUAGAAUCUAAACAGAUAGAUAUUAUUUUUAAAGAAUGGAAGUGAGUCAUCUACAAGCAAUAAACAAGAGACUCUCAUCCAUUCCCUCCCUCUCUCAUCUACCUUAAAACCACUGAUAAAACCCCCGUUCUCUACUUUAGAUAUUGGGCAACUAAGAGCUUUCAUAAUCAACACAAACAAAUAGGGGAGAGGGGAUCACUCCACUAUAAACCUCUAAAACUUUGAAAAAACUAAGUAAUGGUACCAUUUACAAGGAAUGACAUUCUCAAGGUAGAAACGCAAAAGUGUGUCCACCUCCUCUAUCUUAACUUGAAACCCAUUUUUUCCAUAAUAAAUAGGACGAAUUUCCAAUUAACAUGAUCAUAGCCAUUUUUAAUAUCCACUUUUCAAACUAAACCUUUCUUCAAGGGUGUGUUUGGGAUGUUUUAAAAAAUAAUUCUCAAAAAAAAAAUAAAAAUUUUGAGAACAAUUCAUAAAAACAGUUUCUAAUGUUCAGUAUAGUAUUUGAAGGGAGAAUCAAUUGAUCAUAUUCUUCUUCAUUGCUCAAAAGCAAGGAUUUUAUGGAACCUAUUGUUUUCCUUAUUUAGUUGGCAUGACUCCUUUGUAGGGAAAGGUUUGGAAAACUACUCGCCUUUACAUUUUUUUUUGAACAAUUUGACAAGAGUAAUGAAUAAGAUUUUGAAGAUAAGGAAUAGAAUGAUCAAAAGUUAAACUUCCAAUUUGUUAAAAGUCUGAAUGCAACUUUCCUUGUUUUGGUCCCAAAAAAAGGGGGAGUAGAAGACUUAAGGGACUUCAGGCCUAUUAGUUUGGUGGGAGGGCUGUAUAAGUGGCUGGCUAAAGUGCUAGCCAAUAGGCUAAAGCUGGUGGUGGGUAAGGUGGUCUCUAAGGCUCAAAAUGCCUUUGUGGAAGGAAGACAAAUCCUGGAUGUUGUCCUUGUUGCUAAUGAAGUCAUGGAUUCAAUAUUGAAGAGCAAUGAAGUUGUGGUGAUGUGUAAGUUGGAUAUAGAAAAGGCGUAUGAUCAUGUGGACUGGUCCUUCUUGUUUUCAGUUAUGGGUAUGAUGGGUUUCGGGGAGAAAUGGCUUCGGUGGAUGCAACGGUGUAUUUCCACAACUAGCUUUUUUGUUUUGGUUAAUGGGUCUCUUUUAGGUUUCUUCCAAAGUUCUAAGGGUUUAAGACAGGAGGACCCCCUCUCUCCGUACCUAUUUGUGAUUGCUAUGGAGGCUCUUAGUUGCCUCCUAAGGAGUGCCGUAAAUGAGGGUUUUUUGUUAGCCUGCAAGGCGAGGGGUAGAGGUGGUGAGGGGGUUCAGGUGUCUCACUUACUAUUCGCUGAUGAUACUUUAGUUUUCUAUGGCGCUUCCAAGGAUUAUAUGAUGUAUUUAAGUUGGGUUCUAAUGUGGUUUGAGGCCAUUUCUUGGUUGAUAAUUAAUUUGGACAAAAGUGAGCUAAUCUCGGUGGGUGGUGUGGAAAAUGCGGAGGCUUUGGCUGCAAAACUUGGGUGUAAGGUUGGAAGUCUUCCAUCCACUUACUUGGGAUUGCCAUUAGGUGCACCUCAUAGAUCCGUGGCUGUUUGGGGUGGAGUGGAGGAGAGAUUGUGAAAGAAAUUGGCUAGGUGGAAGAGCCAAUACAUCUCCAAAGGAGGGAGGAUCACCUUGAUUCAGAGCACUUUGGCGAGUAUGCCCAUUUACUUCAUGUUUGUGUUUGCUUUGCCCAAAAAGGUCAGAUUGAGGAUAGAGCAAAUUCAGAGGGAUUUUUUGUGGGGAGGCGGGGCCCUUGAGCGGAAACCUCAUCUUUUUGGGUGGGGUUUGGUUUGCCUAGAUAAAAACAAAGGGGGGUUGGGGGUAAAAUGCCUUUCUACCCUCAAAAAGGCAUUUUUGUGUAAAUGGAACUGGAGAUUUGCUAAUGAGAGAGGGGCUUUUUGGAAUCAAGUGAUUAGGGGAAAGUUUGGGGAGAAGCAAGGGGGUUGGUGUUCCAAGGAAGUGAGGGGUGGUUAUGGUGUGGGGUUGUGGAAAACAAUUAGGAGGGAGUGGAUUGUUGUAAGCAGUAGGCUCUCUUUUUUGGUGGGGAAUGGACAAAGUGUGAAAUUCUAGAAAGAUAGAUGGUGUGGGGAUUCACCUCUUUGUGUUUCUUUUCCCACUUUAUUUGCUUUAGUUGUCUUCAAGGAUGCUUGGGUCAAAGAUGUGUGGUGUUCCACUGAGGGAGGGGGGAGUUGGAGGCUUGGAGCCCGCACUUCUCUAGACCGUUUAAUGAUUGGGAGAUGGAUGAUGUGCACAAGUGUUUUUUGGGCCUUAAUGGGUAGAGAGUUCAGUAGGAAGUGGAAGAUAGGGUGCUUUGGAGAGAGACUAAAUGUGAGAAGUUUUUUGUUAAGUCUCUCUACAAAGCAUUAGUUUCAGACCCUCCAGUGUCUUUCCCUUCGGCGUCAUUUGGAAAGUUUGGGUGCAACCUAGAGUGAGUUUUUUUUUGGGUGGGAAGCUUCGUGGGGAAAAGCUCUUACUUUGGACCAACUUCAGAAGAGAGGAUGGCCUCUAGCGAACAGAUGCUACCUAAGCCAAAGGCACGAAGAAUCAAUAGAUCACAUUCUUCUCCAUUGCGCCAAGGCUAGGACUCUUUGGGCGUUGCUUUUCUUUUUUUGGGGUGCAGUGGGUGCUGCCAGCCACAGUUAAGGCGACACUUUUGGGCUAGGACGGGUCUUUUGUGGGAAAAAAAAAAAAGAGAGAGGAAGUUUGGAGAGUAGGCCCACUAUGCCUUUUUUGGUUGGUUUGGAAGGCAAGGAACAAAAUUGUGUUUGAGGAAGAUGUGUUGUCAAUCCAAAGACUUAAGAGUUCGUUUGUAUAUUUUCUUUGGUAGGAGACGAUAUUAUUCAUAAAAGAUGGUCCUUUGACUUUAGUUGAUUUUAUUGGUUGGGUGGGAACCCGUUGAGGGUGGGGUUCGGGUUGCACCUCCGUUCUUGGCAACCAGCUAGGGAGCGGGGGUGUUUCUUCUUUGUAUUCUUUAAGUCGUUGUUUUGGUGGCUUUUUCAAUACAGUAUUUCUCCUUUACUUAUAAAAGAAAAAAAAAAAAAAAGUUAAAACUUUCGUUCCUAAGUAAUCUUUCAGCUUGGGUUAGCAACUUAGCAUGUACAUAAGUGAAGAUUCAAUGCCUUUGAUUUUGUAGAGUGGGUAGGAUCUUGUUGAGUGUCAUAUGUAUUUUUGUGUACUAUCAUUUGAGGCCUUUCUUUAGGCGCUCCUUGUAUUUGUCCUAUGUGCUUUGGUAUUCUUUUUUCUAUUACUACUUUAUAAAUACCUAUCUUUACCUAUAUACAAAAAAAAAAAAAAAGCUUAGUCUUAUACCUUUUAAUCAAAUUUUGUAUUUUUGUGAAGUAUUUCUCAUCCUUCUCUUGUACUAAUUGUCAU